CAGUCGCCGCGGUAACACGUAGGGUGCGAGCGUUAAUCGGAAUUACUGGGCGUAAAGCGUGCGCAGGCGGUUGUGUAAGACAGGUGUGAAAUCCCCGGGCUUAACCUGGGAACCGCGCUUGUGACUGCACAGCUAGAGUAUGGCAGAGGGGGGUGGAAUUCCACGUGUAGCAGUGAAAUGCGUAGAGAUGUGGAGGAACACCGAUGGCGAAGGCAGCCCCCUGGGCCAAUACUGACGCUCAUGCACGAAAGCGUGGGGAGCAAACAGGAUUAGAUACCCCCGUAGUCCCUGUCUCUUAUAC
This 301-nucleotide ribosomal RNA is filed under the name uncultured bacterium. Its description in RNAcentral is "partial 16S ribosomal RNA". It matches the Rfam family "Bacterial small subunit ribosomal RNA", at positions 509 to 807 of the family's 1533-position model. The record is from RNAcentral.